UCUGAGUAGUAUUUUGACGCAUGAGUACACAUAUCAACAGGACAGAGAGUAAGAGUAGAGCAAGGGAGAUGUGGGCACAGUACCAUAAUCAGAAGGAUUAAAGUGUGAAAAUAACAGAGAUUCUGAGAAAAUACAGCACAUUCAAGAAAUUGCAAGAUGUUCGGUAGGGCAGUUCUGGUGAUAAGGAGGACAGCAAAUGAUGAAGCUGGUGAAAAUGGCAAGAAACCCACCGUGAAAUACUCUGUGAGUCAUACAAAAUCAUUAUUCUGGAAAUAUGAAAGCAAUGAGGAGCCAUUGAUGGACAUUAAGGAGUUGAGAAAUCGGAUUCACAAGAAAGAUAUAUAACUUUCCUGCUGCUAGAAACUUGAAGACCUGGGGUUUGAACCUCAGCAGACUGGCUCCAGGAGAUACGUGCUCAACUACUACACCCACUGCCCCAACGGAAGGCAAAGAUGAACAUGACACUGAUGCUGCAUAGGGCUAAAUGUAAUUGUUAGAUGUGAAAGAAACCACUUUUAUGCUUUUAAAAAUAUCAAGAAGAGGCAAAGGAAUGGAGACGGUUCGAAGAGGGCUCUUGCUCUAUAGAGAAUGGGGAGGGGGAGAUAAAGAACAGAAGCACUGACUCCAGUAUUUGUAUGCUGAGAGACAGAUUCAUAAUAGGGGAGCUGGUUGAGGUGGCAAAGAGAAUGUAGAUGGAGCAAAGUGUGAGAGGCAGCAGGAAGAAGUGAGAGCACGGCAUAGGAAAUCUUCCUUGAUUAUUCCUCUACUUUGAUCUCUCCUCUUUGGAUUCCUAGAACACUUAGGACCUUAAUUACUCACACUGGCAGGUCAUUAUAGACUGAACAUCUCUUGUUUCUAUUUCCAUACAUUCUGUCCUCUCGUUAUCCCCAAGUAAACACAAAGCUCCUUGAGGUGAGAAAUUAUAUUACAUACAAG
Molecule: non-coding RNA, 936 nt
Organism: Callorhinus ursinus (northern fur seal)
Lineage: Eukaryota; Metazoa; Chordata; Mammalia; Carnivora; Otariidae
Source: RefSeq, a predicted model, not a curated record